This 447-nucleotide ribosomal RNA is filed under the name uncultured bacterium. RNAcentral's name for it is "partial 16S ribosomal RNA". It matches the Rfam family "Bacterial small subunit ribosomal RNA", at positions 30 to 523 of the family's 1533-position model. The record is from RNAcentral.
AUCGAACGCUGGCGGCAGGCUUAACACAUGCAAGUCGAGCGCCCCGCGAGGGGAGCGGCAGACGGGUGAGUAACACGUGGGAAUCUACCCAUCCCUACGGAACAACUCCGGGAAACUGGAGCUAAUACCGUAUACGCCCUUCGGGGGAAAGAUUUAUCGGGGAUGGAUGAGCCCGCGUUGGAUUAGCUAGUUGGUGGGGUAAAGGCCUACCAAGGCGACGAUCCAUAGCUGGUCUGAGAGGAUGAUCAGCCACAUUGGGACUGAGACACGGCCCAAACUCCUACGGGAGGCAGCAGUGGGGAAUAUUGGACAAUGGGCGCAAGCCUGAUCCAGCCAUGCCGCGUGAAUGAUGAAGGCCUUAGGGUUGUAAAGUUCUUUCACCGAUGAAGAUAAUGACGGUAGUCGGAGAAGAAGCCCCGGCUAACUUCGUGCCAGCAGCCGCCGUAA